This 172-nucleotide ribosomal RNA is filed under the name uncultured bacterium. Its description in RNAcentral is "partial 16S ribosomal RNA". It matches the Rfam family "Bacterial small subunit ribosomal RNA", at positions 335 to 524 of the family's 1533-position model. The record is from RNAcentral.
ACUCCUACGGGAGGCAGCAGUGGGGAAUCUUGGACAAUGGGCGCAAGCCUGAUCUAGCCAUGCCGCGUGAGCGAUGAAGGCCUUAGGGUUGUAAAGCUCUUUCAGUCGGGAAGAUAAUGACUGUACCCACAGAAGAAGCCCCGGCUAACUCCGUGCCAGCAGCCGCGGUAAU